UACAUUUUAGUAUAUUUUGUACAUGAAUUUUUGGUGUUCAAAGGAGUGAUUAAUUUUAUUAAAUGUAA
Molecule: transfer RNA, 68 nt
Filed under: Trigonopterus sp. 6 AH-2016
Lineage: Eukaryota; Metazoa; Arthropoda; Insecta; Coleoptera; Curculionidae
Description: tRNA-Gln
Source: RNAcentral